This 324-nucleotide unclassified non-coding RNA is filed under the name Hevea brasiliensis (rubber tree). The record is from RNAcentral. Lineage: Eukaryota; Viridiplantae; Streptophyta; Magnoliopsida; Malpighiales; Euphorbiaceae.
AUAAAUGCCGGGGCCCUAUAUAUACGGGAGAAGAACCCAUCAUUUUCACGCUCACCUCUAGUGAAUUUCCAAUGUACUGCUUUCCAGUUCUUAAUUUUUCCAGCAAAGUUUCCUGUCAUGACAACCGCUUCAAUCUUUUUUCGAUUAUCUUCUUUGCUCGCCGCCUAAAAAUGGAUAAUUCCGAUGAUCACAGAAUUGUUAAAGCAUUGCCUGAUGACAACGAGAGGAUCGAACUAAUUUACCGAUCAGGAUCCAAAAUGACUACCGUGUUGAUCUCCAAUCGGCUUACUGAUAUGAUCUGCGGACUGAUCUCAAAUAAGGGGA